GGGUCGGUGGCCGAGUCUGGCUGAAGGCGACAGUCUGUAACACGCAGGUACCCUUAGGGAAGCAAGCUACAAAUCCUGCUCGACCCA
RNAcentral lists this transfer RNA (87 nucleotides) under Nostoc punctiforme PCC 73102. RNAcentral describes it as "tRNA-Tyr". The record is from RNAcentral. Lineage: Bacteria; Bacillati; Cyanobacteriota; Cyanophyceae; Nostocales; Nostocaceae.